UGCGAUGAUGAUGUUGCUAA
Molecule: non-coding RNA, 20 nt
Filed under: Arabidopsis thaliana (thale cress)
Lineage: Eukaryota; Viridiplantae; Streptophyta; Magnoliopsida; Brassicales; Brassicaceae
Source: RNAcentral